Molecule: ribosomal RNA, 492 nt
Filed under: uncultured bacterium
Lineage: Bacteria
Description: partial 16S ribosomal RNA
Rfam family: Bacterial small subunit ribosomal RNA
Source: RNAcentral
AGUGAACGCUGGCGGUAGGCCUAACACAUGCAAGUCGAACGGCAGCACAGUAAGAGCUUGCUCUUACGGGUGGCGAGUGGCGGACGGGUGAGGAAUACAUCGGAAUCUACUUUUUCGUGGGGGAUAACGUAGGGAAACUUACGCUAAUACCGCAUACGACCUACGGGUGAAAGCAGGGGAUCUUCGGACCUUGCGCGAUUGAAUGAGCCGAUGUCGGAUUAGCUAGUUGGCGGGGUAAAGGCCCACCAAGGCGACGAUCCGUAGCUGGUCUGAGAGGAUGAUCGGCCACACUGGAACGGAGACACGGUCCAGACUCCUACGGGAGGCAGCAGUGGGGAAUAUUGGACAAUGGGCGCAAGCCUGAUCCAGCCAUACCGCGUGGGUGAAGAAGGCCUUCGGGUUUUAAAGCCCUUUUGUUGGGAAAGAAAAGCAGCAGGUUAAUACCCCGCUGUUCUGACGGUACCCAAAGAAUAAGCACCGGCUAACUUCGUG